This 532-nucleotide ribosomal RNA is filed under the name uncultured archaeon. RNAcentral describes it as "bacterial SSU rRNA". It matches the Rfam family "Archaeal small subunit ribosomal RNA", at positions 326 to 860 of the family's 1478-position model. The record is from RNAcentral.
CGGGGUGCAGCAGGCGCGAAACCUCUGCAAUAGGCGAAAGCUUGACAGGGUUACUCUGAGUGACGUCCGUUAAGGACGUCUUUUGGCACCUCUAAAAAUGGUGCAGAAUAAGGGGUGGGCAAGUCUGGUGUCAGCCGCCGCGGUAAUACCAGCACCCCGAGUGGUCGGGACGAUUAUUGGGCCUAAAGCAUCCGUAGCCGGUUCUGCAAGUCUUCCGUUAAAUCCACCUGCUCAACAGAUGGGCCGCGGAGGAUACUACAGGGCUAGGAGGCGGGAGAGGCAAGCGGUACUCAGUGGGUAGGGGUAAAAUCCUUUGAUCCACUGAAGACCACCAGUGGCGAAGGCGGCUUGCCAGAACGCGCUCGACGGUGAGGGAUGAAAGCUGGGGGAGCAAACCGGAUUAGAUACCCGGGUAGUCCCAGCUGUAAACGAUGCAGACUCGGUGAUGGGUUGGCUUCGAGCCAACCCAGUGCCGCAGGGAAGCCGUUAAGUCUGCCGCCUGGGGAGUACGGUCGCAAGACUGAAACUUAAA